AAUAAGUGCAGCAUAAUUAGUACCAUGUCGAAAUGUGUAGUUCAUAUACAGACAUAUACAAGAAUCCCUCUGUCUGACCAUAAUCUUUGAAUAGAUGAUAUUUGGUAACAUUGUUGUUCACAUUUAUGUAUCAAGAUCAGGAUAGGGUAAAUAGAAUAGAGAAUAAAGGCAAAAUUGGCUUAAAUAAUACAUGAUAGAAAAAAACAGACCAGAAAAAUGAAGAAAAGGUUGCUUGAACAAACAUAUCAAAGAACAGGC
RNAcentral lists this long non-coding RNA (258 nucleotides) under Mytilus galloprovincialis (Mediterranean mussel). Lineage: Eukaryota; Metazoa; Mollusca; Bivalvia; Mytilida; Mytilidae. The record is from RNAcentral.